GAUGGUCAAAGCGGUGCCUCCGCCGCUUAACGCCGUGUCGGUUCCCGAGACCAGUCAAUUUACCGUCUGUCUUUCUCACUCUCCUCUUCCUCACCAUGGCCGGCACGGUGCCGCUCCCCUCCGUGGCCACAACCAGCGCCGCCGCACUUUUCCGCACCCUCCUCCUCCCUUCCGUUUCUCCGCCACCGGUGCUUUCCCCUAUGCGCGCGUCCUCUCCCAUUCCCCUUCAGUAGGCGGCGGCGCUAUGGCAUCGGGGUGGGGCGCGCGCCGAUCUGCGUGCGGCGGUUCGGGUGGCAGCGAAGACGUCGUCGUGGAGGCAGGCCAGCAAGCAGGGAAAGGGCGCACCCUCUCUAUUCCCUAUCAGCAGGCGGCGGCUCCAUGGCAUCGGGGCGGGGCGCGACCUCGGGAGACAGUUGGGGUGGCCGCGAUGGCGUCGGUGUGGAAGCAGGCCGAAGGAAUUUGGGAGACGACGCCAUCGGCAAGGAUGCGGCCCAGCGAGCAUGGAGCGGGAACGAUGGAGACGCUCGCGACCACAGGUCCGGCGGCAACGAACAGCUACACGCGCCGGUGCGCAGGCGGCGCGACAUCCGUAUCGAGUAGCGAGGGCGGAGUCAGCGCCUCAGCGAAGCAGCGAUGGCAAUCGGCGGCCUGCGGGAAGCGUAUCAGCGGGCGCGGCCAGGCCAGGGCCAACGAUGGCGGACCAGCCGCCCCGGCGUUCCCCAGGACGAUGACCCGGUGGGUGAAUGAGCUCGACGGGCGGUACUCCCUCCCCCCUCCACCCUCUUCAUCUCUCUCUCGGGUGGAAGCCGAGAGACGACGAGGCUUCACGCCCUACGUGGAUGGAGGCACGACGGUCGUAAUCGUGGGAGUGUCCAUGGUGUCAAAGGGCGCCAACCAAGGCGAGCAGGGUGACGCGGCCGUGGCGAGGCGGCGGUGAGCAGAAUUUGGGAGCGGCCGACAAAGAUGGAGUCUAGCAGCACCGCGCGACCAACCAAGAAAUGAGCUAUCACGGUGCGCACAAGCAAUGUCGGUUACCAUCUCCAGCGUGCCAUGGGAUUGACCACGAGCCGUGCAGACUAGGACAAGGACGGUGGUGUGCACGCCAUGCCCUUGAUGAUCUUGAUGCCGCUGUAUCAUGGAGCUCUAGCUUGCUGCCUCAGAGUGUCACGAAGAACCUCUCAUUGGGAGCCGAAGCUUUCUGCCUUGCACAACAAAGGAAUUCAGGUGUUGGUUUUAUUGCUAGAUAUGACACGAAGGAAAUAGUAGGUAUUUUGUAUUUGUUAUCUCAUAUAGAAUAGUUAGGUAUUUGGAAUGUAUUACUCUGCAUUGACAAUAUAGUUGUAUUGAUAUACAGUGCCAUUCAUGGGGUAAGCAUUGCAUAUACUUGCUUUGUCUUAAUUAAUCGAAACUUCCUAUGUUUUCCUACAAUGCAUUUACUUUCUUAGUGCUACAAAAAUGCAACAACUAGAACGGUAGAUUUCCUACAUAUCAAUAUAAAUAGGUUACCAACUGAAAGUUUUUAUUAAACAUUCCAGCAUAAUCUUGGUGAGAUUUGAUUAUGGAAGUUUUGGGCCUUUAUAGUGCUUCUCUCUACUGCAGCUGCACUACACAUGAAUUGAGAAAUAUAUAUUGAUUCUUUCAUGCAAUUGAGUUUUUCUUUAUUCAAGGAAAUAAUUAAUGAUAUGUCCAAAUGUUCUUUUCUUAUACUGAACUAUUUAGUAACCUCAGUUCAGUUCUGGUUUGCCCAUGCAUGUUCUACAUUCAUGUUCCACAGAGUAGAUGUAUUUGUUGUUCUUUGCCACUAUAUCACUCUUCUAGCACAGGUCAUAGCUGUUGACAUGAAUUUUCCUUGCUCUAGAAAAUAUAUUUUCAUGUGAGGAGAUGCCGUGCCUGUAAGUCGAACUGUCCAAGCACCAAAACUAGAACUGCUAAUGAAUUGUUCCUGUGGGAAGACCAUAUCCCUAUUAAGAGAUGCAAUCACCAAAAUUCUUAUGCAAUAUCUUUUUUACCUCUGAAUUUGCAGCAAGAGAUUAUUCAAGAGAAAAAUAUUUGACAUUUUUUUACCUUAUUCCUUUUCAAAGGAUUGGCAUUAAUCAUACCUAUGCGAAGUCAUUAUGGAAGAUGAAAGAUCAGGGAAAUCAUAUUCGAGCUAACAAACCUGUGGAUCAUCUCAAAGAAUUGUUCUGGGUAUAUAGUUCAGUUCCAUAUAAAUAUUAACCUCAGUAUUUUUCCAAUGCAGAUAUUUCUCAUGCAUGUACAUGUGCCUCAGGAUUUGAAACCCCAACAGAAGAUUGGCAAUAUCUACUUCAAUGCUGUUUCUCAAGGAAGGGAAGGCCAAAUGAUGCCCAAGUAGGUCAUACAGGAAUGUUGUCUGUGCUGUCCAGAAAGUAAGAUCAGUUGGAAAUUAUGGAUGUUGGUGCUGCAUAUUGUAUCCAUUUUAUUUGUGUUUCGGAGUUCUUUGUCAAUGAUAUGUAUGCGUUUUUUUAUUCUUAGGGUUUGGGUAGCGGAGAUUAUGGUGAAAAAGAAACAUCAAAUAGUUAAUUUCACUAAUUUAUAUAUCAACAAUGUAUAUAUGCAACAUAUAUCUUCCAUGUAUCGCCUUAUGUAGAGCACCCUUUGGGGUGAGGAUAUAAUUAUGGUCUCCCUGCUUUUAAUAGUAGUAAUGAAUUAUGGAGGAUAAAUUUUAAAUA
Lolium perenne is the source of this 2690-nucleotide RNA transcript. RefSeq lists it as uncharacterized. NCBI's taxonomy places the organism in Eukaryota, Viridiplantae, Streptophyta, Magnoliopsida, Poales, Poaceae. The record is from RefSeq and is a predicted model, not a curated record.